AGAGUUUGAUCAUGGCUCAGAUUGAACGCUGGCGGCAGGCCUAACACAUGCAAGUCGAACGGUAACAGGAAGCAGCUUGCUGCUUCGCUGACGAGUGGCGGACGGGUGAGUAAUGUCUGGGAAGCUGCCUGAUGGAGGGGGAUAACUACUGGAAACGGUAGCUAAUACCGCAUAAUGUCGCAAGACCAAAGAGGGGGACCUUCGGGCCUCUUGCCAUCGGAUGUGCCCAGAUGGGAUUAGCUUGUUGGUGGGGUAACGGCUCACCAAGGCGACGAUCCCUAGCUGGUCUGAGAGGAUGACCAGCCACACUGGAACUGAGACACGGUCCAGACUCCUACGGGAGGCAGCAGUGGGGAAUAUUGCACAAUGGGCGCAAGCCUGAUGCAGCCAUGCCGCGUGUAUGAAGAAGGCCUUCGGGUUGUAAAGUACUUUCAGCGGGGAGGAAGGGAGUAAAGUUAAUACCUUUGCUCAUUGACGUUACCCGCAGAAGAAGCACCGGCUAACUCCGUGCCAGCAGCCGCGGUAAUACGGAGGGUGCAAGCGUUAAUCGGAAUUACUGGGCGUAAAGCGCACGCAGGCGGUUUGUUAAGUCAGAUGUGAAAUCCCCGGGCUCAACCUGGGAACUGCAUCUGAUACUGGCAAGCUUGAGUCUCGUAGAGGGGGGUAGAAUUCCAGGUGUAGCGGUGAAAUGCGUAGAGAUCUGGAGGAAUACCGGUGGCGAAGGCGGCCCCCUGGACGAAGACUGACGCUCAGGUGCGAAAGCGUGGGGAGCAAACAGGAUUAGAUACCCUGGUAGUCCACGCCGUAAACGAUGUCGACUUGGAGGUUGUGCCCUUGAGGCGUGGCUUCCGGAGCUAACGCGUUAAGUCGACCGCCUGGGGAGUACGGCCGCAAGGUUAAAACUCAAAUGAAUUGACGGGGGCCCGCACAAGCGGUGGAGCAUGUGGUUUAAUUCGAUGCAACGCGAAGAACCUUACCUGGUCUUGACAUCCACGGAAGUUUUCAGAGAUGAGAAUGUGCCUUCGGGAACCGUGAGACAGGUGCUGCAUGGCUGUCGUCAGCUCGUGUUGUGAAAUGUUGGGUUAAGUCCCGCAACGAGCGCAACCCUUAUCCUUUGUUGCCAGCGGUCCGGCCGGGAACUCAAAGGAGACUGCCAGUGAUAAACUGGAGGAAGGUGGGGAUGACGUCAAGUCAUCAUGGCCCUUACGACCAGGGCUACACACGUGCUACAAUGGCGCAUACAAAGAGAAGCGACCUCGCGAGAGCAAGCGGACCUCAUAAAGUGCGUCGUAGUCCGGAUUGGAGUCUGCAACUCGACUCCAUGAAGUCGGAAUCGCUAGUAAUCGUGGAUCAGAAUGCCACGGUGAAUACGUUCCCGGGCCUUGUACACACCGCCCGUCACACCAUGGGAGUGGGUUGCAAAAGAAGUAGGUAGCCUAACCUUCGGGAGGGCGCUUACCACUUUGUGAUUCAUGACUGGGGUGAAGUCGGAACAAGGUA
Molecule: ribosomal RNA, 1500 nt
Filed under: metagenome
Description: bacterial SSU rRNA
Rfam family: Bacterial small subunit ribosomal RNA
Source: RNAcentral